GAUGAAGAACGUAGCGAAAUGCGAUAAGUAAUGUGAAUUGCAGAAUUCAGUGAAUCAUCGAAUCUUUGAACGCACAUUGCGCCCCCUGGUAUUCCGGGGGGCAUGCCUGUCCGAGCGUCAUUACAACCCUCAAGCUCAGCUUGGUAUUGGGCCCCGCCGACCCGGCGGGCCCUAAAGUCAGUGGCGGUGCCGUCCGGCUCCGAGCGUAGUAAUUCUUCUCGCUCUGGAGGUCCGGUCGCGUGCUCGCCAGCAACCCCCAAUUUUUUUCAGGUUGACCUCGGAUCAGGUAGGGAUACCCGCUGAACUUAAGCAUAUCAAUAAGCGGAGGA
This 329-nucleotide unclassified non-coding RNA is filed under the name soil metagenome. RNAcentral's name for it is "partial contains 5.8S ribosomal RNA, internal transcribed spacer 2, and large subunit ribosomal RNA". The stretch from base 1 to 120 matches the Rfam family "5.8S ribosomal RNA", at positions 35 to 154 of the family's 154-position model. The record is from RNAcentral.